UUUCCUAAACCCACUUGACCUUAGGGUCAUACCACUUGAACUUAAUAAAUGACUUAUAAAACAAAUAUCACAAUAUCAAAAACAUUUUUAAAAUCACAAUUAACUCGUAAAUAUUAAAUAUAAUAUUUACAAACCUACUCGUCGGAUUUGGUGGCCCCGAAACCACUAUUCCGAUUAACCCUAAAAAUGGGCUGUUACAAUAAAUAGAGGCCUCUCCCCCUUAUUGUAUUCAUUCAAUGAUUAAUAGAAUUUUGAGAGCAUUCACUCAAACUUUUCUCUCAAGUGUUCUUAUUUUUCUGUGGCUUUUGUUCAUCUUUUGAGAUCGUUCUUACUUCAUUCUUCUGCUGUUCUUCGUGGGUUCUUUGGAGGAGUUCUAUUGAAUCCUCAAUUGUUGCGAGAUAGGCUGACUUAGGCGUUUUUGAGUGGAGAAACGCUUAAGGCCGUAUGGAUUGCUUGGGAAAACUCUAAGUCUGUGACACUAGUAACUGGUUCCCUCUGAAGUUUCCCUUAGUAUAGCUGGAGCCCUUAGCGAGUUCUAUCGGGUAAAGCCAUUGAUCAGAGGCAUCUAGAGCUCAACGCCCUCGACCUCUUCUCAAACUUUAAAUAGGUAGGACGGCGUGGCUGCUUCAUUGAGCAGCGCCACGGAAUCGAGAGCUCCAAGUGGGCCAUUUUUGGUAAGCAGAACUGGCGAUACGGGAUGAACCAGAAGUCAAGUUACGGUGCCCAACUGCGCGCUAACCUAGAACCCACAAAAGGUGUUGGUCGAUUAAGACGGCAGGAUGGUGGUCAUGGAAGUCGAAAUCCGCUAAGGAGUGUGUAACAACUCACCGGCCGAAUCAACUAGCCCCAAAAAUGGAUGGCGCUUAAGCGCAUGACCUAUACCCGACCGUCGGGGCAAGGGCUAGGCCCCGAUGAGUAGGAGGGCGCGGUGGUCGUCGUAAAACCCAGGGCGCGAGCUCGGGCGGAGCGGUCGUCGGUGCAAAUCUUGGUGGUAGUAGUAAAUAUUCAAAUGAGAACUUUGAUGGCCGAAGAGGGGAAAGGUUCCAUGUGAACGGCACUUGUACAUGGGUUAGUCGAUCCUAAGAGACGGGGAAGCUCGUCCGAUAACGUGUCCAGCGCGAGCUUCGAAAGGGAUUCGGCUUAAAAUUCCUUAACCAGGACGCGGCAGCUGACGACAACGUUAGGGAGUCCAGAGACGUCGAUGGGGCCCUCGGGAAGAGUUAUCUUUUCUAUUUAACGUUAGGCGGCCCUUGAAAAUCUAAAAGACCGAGUGCCAUCCGCGCCCGGUCAUACUCAUAACGAACAGCCUCUGGUUAAUGGAACAAUGUAGGCAAGGGAAGUCGGCAAAAUGGAUUCGUAACCUCGGGAAAAGGAUUGGCUCUUGGGUCUGGGCAUGGGGGCCCUAGUCUCUAACCCAUCGGUUACCGAUGCACUGCUCAAGCUACUUUCAAGGUGAGAGUGGGUUGCCGCAUGCCGAUCGAGGGACAGACUGGGAACGGUUCCCUUAGGGGCCUUCCCAGGGCGACGAACAGCAAACUCAGAACUGGUACAGACAAGGGGAAUCCGACUGUUUAAUUAAAACAAAACAUUGCGAUGGUCCCUGCGGAUGCUCACGCAAUGUGAUUUCUGCCCAGUGCUCU
RNAcentral lists this non-coding RNA (1640 nucleotides) under Gossypium arboreum. RNAcentral's name for it is "Eukaryotic large subunit ribosomal RNA". It matches the Rfam family "Eukaryotic large subunit ribosomal RNA", at positions 1 to 2211 of the family's 3401-position model. Lineage: Eukaryota; Viridiplantae; Streptophyta; Magnoliopsida; Malvales; Malvaceae. The record is from Rfam by way of RNAcentral.